Molecule: ribosomal RNA, 253 nt
Filed under: uncultured bacterium
Lineage: Bacteria
Description: partial 16S ribosomal RNA
Rfam family: Bacterial small subunit ribosomal RNA
Source: RNAcentral
UACGAGGGGGGCGAGCGUUGUUCGGAAUUACUGGGCGUAAAGCGCGCGCAGGCGGUCUUCCAAGUCAGUGGUGAAAGCCCGGAGCUCAACUCCGGAACUGCCAUUGAAACUGUUAGACUUGAGGACGAGAGAGGUGAGUGGAAUUCCCAGUGUAGAGGUGAAAUUCGUAGAUAUUGGGAAGAACACCGGUGGCGAAGGCGGCUCACUGGCUCGUAUCUGACGCUCAGGCGCGACAGCGUGGGGAUCAAACAGG